This is a long non-coding RNA of Alexandromys fortis (reed vole), 440 nucleotides long. RefSeq lists it as uncharacterized. Lineage: Eukaryota; Metazoa; Chordata; Mammalia; Rodentia; Cricetidae. The transcript is spliced from 3 exons. The record is from RefSeq and is a predicted model, not a curated record.
GAGAGACUCAGCAAAGGGUUAUUAUUCCCAAAUGCCGUGCAGAGGUGGAGAAGGCACUUGGGUGGCACUUAGGAUGUUACUCAUAACCUUUCCAGAACAGCCUUGUUGGUGUCCACUGCCAGGCUGUAGAGGUCCAAACAGGCGGAGCAAAGCUCCACUCCCCACGACGAGAGGGGCUUCAUGCCUGACCAUGACCAGAGGAAGCAGGGGCGGGAAGAACAUUUGGGUCCCAGAGCUGGGCAGUUUUCAGUCUAUGAUGCUGCUUGGAAGUUAGGUUGAGAGGAAGAAUGUGGUGAAGAAUUCUGAUCAGGCCUCUUAUAGUUACCCUGGUGUUGGGAAGGGCCUGUGGCUGCCUCACCAAGCCCGCUGGUGAACCCGUUGAUGCCGAGACCACCUGCCUGAGUCUUGAUCGCAGACUUAAGCUCGUGAUUCUCCCGAAU